GACGAACGCUGGCGGCGUGCCUAAUACAUGCAAGUAGAACGCUGAAGGAGGAGCUUGCUUCUCUGGAUGAGUUGCGAACGGGUGAGUAACGCGUAGGUAACCUGCCUGGUAGUGGGGGAUAACUAUUGGAAACGAUAGCUAAUACCGCAUAAUAGCAGUUGUUGCAUGAUAACUGUUUGAAAGGUGCAAUUGCACCGCUACCAGAUGGACCUGCGUUGUAUUAGCUAGUUGGUGGGGUAACGGCUCACCAAGGCGACGAUACAUAGCCGACCUGAGAGGGUGAUCGGCCACACUGGGACUGAGACACGGCCCAGACUCCUACGGGAGGCAGCAGUAGGGAAUCUUCGGCAAUGGACGGAAGUCUGACCGAGCAACGCCGCGUGAGUGAAGAAGGGUGUCGGAUCGUAAAGCUCUGUUGUAAGAGAAGAACGAGUGUGAGAGUGGAAAGUUCACACUGUGACGGUAUCUUACCAGAAAGGGACGGCUAACUACGUG
RNAcentral lists this ribosomal RNA (495 nucleotides) under uncultured bacterium. RNAcentral's name for it is "partial 16S ribosomal RNA". It matches the Rfam family "Bacterial small subunit ribosomal RNA", at positions 28 to 507 of the family's 1533-position model. The record is from RNAcentral.